UAAUAUCUAAAAGUGUGAAAAUCAGCGUAUUUACUAAUAUUAAAUAUUUCUGUGCCGAACUCGAAAGUUGUUUAAUAUCUUUUGGAAAACCAUAGCCCUCCCUAGCAAAUUUGUUGUGAGGAGAAAUUGCACAUUAUACAAUAAAUACUGCAGAAAAAAAAAACAUCUGAUACUGGAAACGGGUGUGACCACUGUUGUACGUUGGUAGUUGGGAAGGGG
Non-coding RNA from Cinara cedri, 219 nucleotides. The record is from the annotation of a GenBank genome assembly. Lineage: Eukaryota; Metazoa; Arthropoda; Insecta; Hemiptera; Aphididae.